RNAcentral lists this ribosomal RNA (433 nucleotides) under uncultured bacterium. RNAcentral describes it as "partial 16S ribosomal RNA". It matches the Rfam family "Bacterial small subunit ribosomal RNA", at positions 29 to 507 of the family's 1533-position model. The record is from RNAcentral.
AACGAACGCUGGCGGCAUGCCUAACACAUGCAAGUCGAACGAACCCUUCGGGGUUAGUGGCGCACGGGUGCGUAACGCGUGGGAAUCUGCCCUUUGCUUCGGAAUAACUCAGGGAAACUUGUGCUAAUACCGGAUGAUUUCUUCGGACCAAAGAUUUAUCGGCAAGGGAUGAGCCCGCGUAGGAUUAGGUAGUUGGUGGGGUAAAGGCCUACCAAGCCGACGAUCCUUAGCUGGUCUGAGAGGAUGAUCAGCCACACUGGGACUGAGACACGGCCCAGACUCCUACGGGAGGCAGCAGUGGGGAAUAUUGGACAAUGGGCGCAAGCCUGAUCCAGCAAUGCCGCGUGAGUGAUGAAGGCCCUCGGGUCGUAAAGCUCUUUUACCAGGGAUGAUAAUGACAGUACCUGGAGAAUAAGCUCCGGCUAACUCCGUG